Molecule: non-coding RNA, 538 nt
Organism: Chiloscyllium plagiosum (whitespotted bambooshark)
Lineage: Eukaryota; Metazoa; Chordata; Chondrichthyes; Orectolobiformes; Hemiscylliidae
Source: the annotation of a RefSeq genome assembly
UGAUCUGGCCCCUGCAUUCUGUGUUGCAGGUACAAAUCUCUCUCCUUCCACCUUGAAUCUUUAGCUGCUCUCCAUUUCACUCCAAUUCCACUGACUUGUGAUUGAAGGGAAAAUGCUGAAACCAGAGGAAAGCUCAGUGUCUCCAACAAUCUCUCAUUUGACAGGCUCUUUCUGUGACAGUUCUGACUUCACUGUGUUUCUCUCUGACCCCUCAGGUAUCAGUGGGGACAUCACCAUGACCCAGUCACCCCCGGUGCUGUCAGUGGAACUGGGCCAGAUCGCAACCAAUACCUGUACGGCCAGUCAAUCUGUGAGCAAGUGGGUUAACUGGUACCAGCAGCGAGAAGGACAGAAACCCUCUCUCCUGAUCUAUGAUGCAACAACUCGAAACACAGGAGUCUCCGAGCGAUUCACUGGCAGAGGAUAUGGGACCAGUUUCACCCUGACAAUCAGCAACGUUCAGAAUGAGGAUGUCGCUGACUAUUACUGUAUGUAGUAUAACAGCUACUCUUAUGUUCGAUAAAGGAACCAAGCUCAG